Molecule: ribosomal RNA, 468 nt
Filed under: uncultured bacterium
Lineage: Bacteria
Description: partial 16S ribosomal RNA
Rfam family: Bacterial small subunit ribosomal RNA
Source: RNAcentral
GACGAACGCUGGCGGCGUGCUUAACACAUGCAAGUCGAACGGAAAGGCCCUGCUUUUGUGGGCUGCUCGAGUGGCGAACGGGUGAGUAACACGUGAGUAACCUGCCCUUGACUUUGGUAUAACUUCAGGAAACUGGGGCUAAUACCGGAUAGGAGCUCAUGCUGCAUGGAGGGGGUUGGAAAGUUUCGGCGGUUGGGGAUGGACUCGCGGCUUAUCAGCUUGUUGGUGGGGUAGUGGCUUACCAAGGCUUUGACGGGUAGCCGGCCUGAGAGGGUGACCGGCCACAUUGGGACUAAGAUACGGCCCAGACUCCUACGGGGGGCAGCAGUGGGGAAUAUUGCACAAUGGUCGGAAGCCUGAUGCAGCAACGCCGCGUGCGGGAUGACGGCCUUCGGGUUGUAAACCGCUUUCGCCUGUGACGAAGCGUGAGUGACGGUAAUGGGUAAAGAAGCACCGGCUAACUACGUG